CGUGAAGCGGAUUGAAAGUGCCGGAGCUGCAAAGUGCUGAGAAAGCGGAGGACCGUCCGCUGGAUUAACACCAACAGGAACUUGGAACAAAAAAGUCAAUCGGGUCGCAUCACAGCAACAAGUACCGCACAGCUGCAAACGCUCCAAAACAACGACAGCGGCUCUGACUCAUUCACAGAAAUGUGGUGGAUACCUAUCAGACCUUUUACGGAGCAGUGACAUUCAUAUGUUCCCCUCUAUGGACUUCCUAUGACACAGCAUUGACCUGCAGGGGCACACAAGAUCAACGUUCUCACAUUAGCCAGAAAUGGUCCCGAAAAUCAUUCUGCAGCAUGACGAUGACCCCGAACAUACAACAACAGAUGGUUUCCCCUCCAAUACACUCCCAAAUCCAGAUUAUAUGAAUGGACAGA
Molecule: long non-coding RNA, 413 nt
Organism: Amphiprion ocellaris (clown anemonefish)
Lineage: Eukaryota; Metazoa; Chordata; Actinopteri; Pomacentridae
Source: Ensembl